GGCUGGUGCAGGUGCUGGGGGGUCGGGGGGGGACCCUGGGGGGGUCUGUGGGGGGAGCGGGAGCAGCGAGGGGUGCUGUGGGGUCCCCAAAGGCUGUGUCUCCUCCGCAGGGCCCCGGCGUUGGCCAUGGUCACCCUCCUGGUCCUGGCCACCGUGGUGGCCGAUGAGCCCACGAGCACCCUGGACGUGGCCCUUUCUGCAGAAGGACAGACGCCAGAGCCCGUCAGCCCGGCCAAGCUGGAGGCCUCCGGAGAGAGUGAUCUCACCACCUCGGCACAGCGCCUGGGCAAAGGCCUGACCCCCCUGGCCUUGGAGGGUGCGGAGCGUUCUCCCGCCGAGGACUCGAGGGGGGAGUCCCUGGGCAGCGACUCCUCCAGCCUCGACCCCCUCAACAGCGGCUCCUUCAGCGCCGACGCCAGCGCCGGGGAGGCCCGAGGAGGUGGGUGCCCCCCCCGACCUCCCCAC
This 465-nucleotide long non-coding RNA is filed under the name Calidris pygmaea (Spoon-billed sandpiper). RNAcentral describes it as "lncRNA (ENSCPGG00000017723.1)". The record is from RNAcentral. Lineage: Eukaryota; Metazoa; Chordata; Aves; Charadriiformes; Scolopacidae.